RNAcentral lists this ribosomal RNA (1308 nucleotides) under Klebsiella pneumoniae LCT-KP182. RNAcentral describes it as "bacterial LSU rRNA". It matches the Rfam family "Bacterial large subunit ribosomal RNA", at positions 1637 to 2925 of the family's 2925-position model. The record is from RNAcentral. Lineage: Bacteria; Pseudomonadati; Pseudomonadota; Gammaproteobacteria; Enterobacterales; Enterobacteriaceae.
ACGGCGCGAUCCUGGUUGUCAGGUGGUCAGGUAGAGAAUACCAAGGCGCUUGAGAGAACUCGGGUGAAGGAACUAGGCAAAAUGGUGCCGUAACUUCGGGAGAAGGCACGCUGGUGUGUAGGUGAAGCCCCUGCGGGUGGAGCUGAGACCAGUCGAAGAUACCAGCUGGCUGCAACUGUUUAUUAAAAACACAGCACUGUGCAAACACGAAAGUGGACGUAUACGGUGUGACGCCUGCCCGGUGCCGGAAGGUUAAUUGAUGGGGUUAUCCGUAAGGAGAAGCUCUUGAUCGAAGCCCCGGUAAACGGCGGCCGUAACUAUAACGGUCCUAAGGUAGCGAAAUUCCUUGUCGGGUAAGUUCCGACCUGCACGAAUGGCGUAAUGAUGGCCAGGCUGUCUCCACCCGAGACUCAGUGAAAUUGAACUCGCUGUGAAGAUGCAGUGUACCCGCGGCAAGACGGAAAGACCCCGUGAACCUUUACUAUAGCUUGACACUGAACAUUGAGCCUUGAUGUGUAGGAUAGGUGGGAGGCUUUGAAGCGUGGACGCCAGUCUGCGUGGAGCCAACCUUGAAAUACCACCCUUUAAUGUUUGAUGUUCUAACGUUGGCCCCUGACCGGGGUUGCGGACAGUGUCUGGUGGGUAGUUUGACUGGGGCGGUCUCCUCCCAAAGCGUAACGGAGGAGCACGAAGGUUAGCUAAUCCUGGUCGGACAUCAGGAGGUUAGUGCAAUGGCAUAAGCUAGCUUGACUGCGAGCGUGACGGCGCGAGCAGGUGCGAAAGCAGGUCAUAGUGAUCCGGUGGUUCUGAAUGGAAGGGCCAUCGCUCAACGGAUAAAAGGUACUCCGGGGAUAACAGGCUGAUACCGCCCAAGAGUUCAUAUCGACGGCGGUGUUUGGCACCUCGAUGUCGGCUCAUCACAUCCUGGGGCUGAAGUAGGUCCCAAGGGUAUGGCUGUUCGCCAUUUAAAGUGGUACGCGAGCUGGGUUUAGAACGUCGUGAGACAGUUCGGUCCCUAUCUGCCGUGGGCGCUGGAGAAUUGAGGGGGGCUGCUCCUAGUACGAGAGGACCGGAGUGGACGCAUCACUGGUGUUCGGGUUGUCAUGCCAAUGGCACUGCCCGGUAGCUAAAUGCGGAAGAGAUAAGUGCUGAAAGCAUCUAAGCACGAAACUUGCCCCGAGAUGAGUUCUCCCUGAGACUAUAAGUCUCCUGAAGGAACGUUAAAGACGAUGACGUUGAUAGGCCGGGUGUGUAAGCGCAGCGAUGCGUUGAGCUAACCGGUACUAAUGAACCGUGAGGCUUAACCUU